AAAGUUACAAUCCAGCUUCCCCUGACCUCCCUCCUCCCUAAACCAUCAAUAGAUUUCUUCUCCACUCCGGCCAAAGACGGGAAGAUUUCUUGGGAUGGUUUGAUAUGGCUCGUUUCUUUAGGUAUUUUCUUUCUCUCUAUUAUUUCGUUUAAAUUCCUUUAAGUUUUGUUUUAAUUUAUUUUUGGUUGAAUCCUCACCUCUUCAUUAUUCUGUUUUCUUUCUUUGUUGGUCGAAUUUCAUCUUGUAUUGCUUGCGUUAGAUACAUGAACAGAAGUUGUUAUUUGAUAAGUGAAUUUGUUUGUUAGGUAAAUUAUUAUUACAUUCUCGAUAAUUCAUUGAUUGAAACUUCUGAAAUUAUUGUAAAAUGGCUUGUGCUUUUUGUUAUAGUUCGGUUUUAAUUUAAAUCAGUGAUGUUCUUCUUGAAGAAUUAUCUAUUUAUAUGCAAUCAGUCGUAGUGUUCGUAAACUCUUAAGUCUAGAACUUCAAAUGUGAUAUGUGUUGAACCAUUGGUCUUUAUUAUGGAUGCCAUUUGAUUUUAUCAGAGUUACUAUAUUGAAUUUCUGACUGAUUUGAUAAGUUUGAAUUGGUUAUAACUAAUGCGUUUAUUGGAUUAGAGCUAGUUCAUUUGUUUUCCGUCUUUAAUUAAGAAUUAGUUUAGGUUAAUUAGUAAUUAGAUUUCUUAUUCAAGAAUUGGUUAUAGCUAAUGUGGUCAUAUGGGCUUGAGGUAGAAUAGUUGUUCUGGGCAUAGGGGGGUAAUUUGGGGUGCCGAAAUUUGAAAAAUUCUUUAAUUUGAAUGGUUGUUAGUAAGGUACUAAUGGAUCAUUAAUUAUUGUAUAUUUGUAAGAGUAACGGGGAACAAGACAUAGCGAUGUAAAUAAAAGAAAAAGCGGCUUAGAAUGUAAAAAGAGGGGGAAUGAUAAUGAAAAGCUUAAAGGGUUCACAUAGUAGAAGAAUAUAGAAAGCUGGAAGUAAAAAGGAGUAGGGGGUAAUAAUAAAAGUUUUUCUUUUACAUCUGUAAAAGAAAAAAGAGGGGCUGGAAAAGGCUAAGGACUUAGGGUUUAAAUAUAGAGAUGAGUAGAGACAUAAAAGGGACUUGAACUGGAGGAAGAGUUGAGAGUCAAAAACACAGAGAGAGAGAAAGAGUUUUGAGAGAGCUUAAUAAAGCAUUGAGACUGAUUUUGAGAGGAAGAACAUUAGACUUUCUAGGCAAACAUACAAAAGCUACAAAGAUUAAAAAAAAAGUACUAUUCCAUUCAGUUUCCUAGUUUAAUUUUGAUUUUCAGUAGUUGGUUUUGAUCUUCUAACCUAGUUUUGAGUUGUUGGAGUUUCUUCUGAGAUCAAUUGGUCAAGUUUUGGAUGUGUUCGGAUUGUGUGGGUCAUUCUGAGCAAUAUUUGGUUGGUUUAGUAAGCUCCUGGGUCUAUUUGUUGGUGUUUUUGAAGCUGAAAUAUCUAUUGGUUGUCUGUUGAUGCUGUAUCACUAUUGACCGGUGUUACUGUGUUGUUGUUGUGACUGAUGAUGUAUUGCCACUGCUGACCAUUUCUUUCUCUAUUUCAAUUUGAAUUCCAGGUAUACUUUUCAUUGUCCCUUGAUCUGGAGGUUGAUUCACGUGUAUAAACCAUAUGUUGAGCCCAAUGAAUGAAGAAUGACUGUUGUUCGUUUGAGUUUGGAAUUGCU
Molecule: long non-coding RNA, 1675 nt
Filed under: Nicotiana benthamiana
Lineage: Eukaryota; Viridiplantae; Streptophyta; Magnoliopsida; Solanales; Solanaceae
Description: long non-coding RNA (NBEN_LNC014109)
Source: RNAcentral